Molecule: small nuclear RNA, 149 nt
Filed under: Carlito syrichta (Philippine tarsier)
Lineage: Eukaryota; Metazoa; Chordata; Mammalia; Primates; Tarsiidae
Description: U12 minor spliceosomal RNA (ENSTSYG00000029205.1)
Rfam family: U12 minor spliceosomal RNA
About the family: Although the U12 sequence is very divergent from that of U2, the two are functionally analogous.
Source: Rfam by way of RNAcentral
AUGCCUUAAACUUAUGAGUAUAAAAAAUAACAAUUCAGGAUGAUGCCCAAGUCCUUGCCACUAAUGUGAGAUGAAUUUUUGAGUGGGUAAAGGUUGCCCUAAGGUGACCCACCUACUUUGCAGGAUGCCUGGGAGUCACAAUCUGCCUG